GACGAACGCUGGCGGCGUGCUUAACACAUGCAAGUCGAGCGGAAAGGCCACUUCGGUGGUACUCGAGCGGCGAACGGGUGAGUAACACGUGAGUAAUCUGCCCCUGGCUUUGGGAUAGCCACCGGAAACGGUGAUUAAUACCGGAUACGAGCACUUCUCGCAUGGGAUGGGGGGGGAAAGUUUUUUCGGGCAGGCAUGUGCUCGCGGCCUAUCGGCUUGAUGGUGAGGUAAUGGCUCACCAUGGUUUCGACGGGUAGCCGGCCUGUGAGGGUGACCGGUCACACUGGGACUGAGACACGGCCCAGACUCCUACGGGAGGCAGCAGUGGGGAAUAUUGGACAAUGGGCGGAAGCCUGAUCCAGCAACGCCGCGUGAGGGAUGACGGCCUUCGGGUUGUAAACCUCUUUCAGCAGGGACGAAGCGCAAGUGACGGUACCUGCAGAAGAAGCACCGGCCAACUACGUGCCAGCCGCCGCCGUAA
RNAcentral lists this ribosomal RNA (481 nucleotides) under uncultured bacterium. RNAcentral's name for it is "partial 16S ribosomal RNA". It matches the Rfam family "Bacterial small subunit ribosomal RNA", at positions 28 to 523 of the family's 1533-position model. The record is from RNAcentral.